AACGAACGCUGGCGGCAGGCCUAACACAUGCAAGUCGAGCGCCCUUUCGGGGGCGCGGCGGACGGGUGAGUAACGCGUGGGAAUAUGCCCUUCUCUACGGAAUAGCCUCGGGAAACUGAGAGUAAUACCGUAUACGCCCUUUGGGGGAAAGAGUUAUCGGGGAAGGAUUAGCCCGCGUUGGAUUAGGUAGUUGGUGGGGUAAUGGCCUACCAAGCCGACGAUCCAUAGCUGGUUUGAGAGGAUGAUCAGCCACACUGGGACUGAGACACGGCCCAGACUCCUACGGGAGGCAGCAGUGGGGAAUCUUAGACAAUGGGGGCAACCCUGAUCUAGCCAUGCCGCGUGAGUGAUGAAGGCCUUAGGGUUGUAAAGCUCUUUCAGCUGGGAAGAUAAUGACGGUACCAGCAGAAGAAGCCCCGGCUAACUCCGUG
Molecule: ribosomal RNA, 431 nt
Filed under: uncultured bacterium
Lineage: Bacteria
Description: partial 16S ribosomal RNA
Rfam family: Bacterial small subunit ribosomal RNA
Source: RNAcentral